RNAcentral lists this ribosomal RNA (372 nucleotides) under uncultured organism. Its description in RNAcentral is "partial 16S ribosomal RNA". It matches the Rfam family "Bacterial small subunit ribosomal RNA", at positions 527 to 896 of the family's 1533-position model. The record is from RNAcentral.
GUAGGUGGCAAGCGUUGCCCGGAAUUAUUGGGCGUAAAGCGCGCGCAGGCGGUUCUUUAAGUCUGAUGUGAAAGCCCACGGCUCAACCGUGGAGGGUAAUUGGAAACUGGAGAACUUGAGUACAGAAGAGGAAAGCGGAAUUCCACGUGUAGCGGUGAAAUGCGUAGAGAUGUGGAGGAACACCAGUGGCGAAGGCGGCUUUCUGGUCUGUAACUGACGCUGAGGCGCGAAAGCGUGGGGAGCAAACAGGGAUUAGAUACCCUGGUAGUCCACGCCGUAAACGAUGAGUGCUAAGUGUUAGGGGGUUUCCGCCCCCUUAGUGCUGCAGCUAACGCAUUAAGCACUCCGCCUGGGGAUACGGCCGCAAGGCUG